AUCGGAGGCCUCAGUGCACCCCUCCCCCAAGCCACAGAGCUUCUGGAGGCAGCACUAGGGAGAGGGGGAAAAAGCCCUGGAUCCAUAGGCUGGACUACACGUGCAGAGAGAGGCGUUCUUUGUUUGAGGAGACACAGACCCACUGAAGGAUUGCAUGAGCCCAAAGUAAUUUCAGAGACCUAAUGACUUGAGAGGGUCACCUAAGCAAAGAAAAGUUGCCAAAGAUCGGAGAAAGACGGAAGCAUGUGAUUCCUGAAUGAAGAAGUUCUUCACGCCCCUAUUCCAGACCUCCUGCCUGCCUGGGCUCCCAUGCAACCCUCGUGCUCAAAGAUGACUCCAUACAUGCCUUCGGCGAAGAGUGGCAUAGACCCAUUUCCACAAGUCAUGGCAUAGACCCAUUUCCCCCACACUGGCAACUGGCACCAGGGAACCUCAUCGUCUUAGCACCUUUUGCCUGGAUUUCUGCAAGGUCUAGGUCUCGUAUGGAUGCCAUGAGACAAGACCAUUGUACUCCUAGCGCUUAAGGUAGAGACAGACAUGCAGCGGGUGCUCACGGCUUCUCAACUGCCUCCCUAUUGCCAAUGGCCAACCAGCGACGGCCCGACGGCAACGAUUUUACCACCGUUGGCCGAGUAUGAAUUGUGAGCCAGCAUG
Panthera uncia (snow leopard) is the source of this 654-nucleotide long non-coding RNA. RefSeq lists it as uncharacterized. The transcript is spliced from 3 exons. The record is from RefSeq and is a predicted model, not a curated record. NCBI's taxonomy places the organism in Eukaryota, Metazoa, Chordata, Mammalia, Carnivora, Felidae.